GACGAACGCUGGCGGCGUGCUUAACACAUGCAAGUCGAACGGAAAGGCCCUGCUCUUGUGGGGUGCUCGAGUGGCGAACGGGUGAGUAACACGUGAGUAACCUGCCCUUGACUUUGGGAUAACUUCAGGAAACUGGGGCUAAUACCGGAUAGGAGCUCCUGCUGCAUGGUGGGGGUUGGAAAGUUUCGGCGGUAGGGGAUGGACUCGCGGCUUAUCAGCUUGUUGGUGGGGUAGUGGCUUACCAAGGCUUUGACGGGUAGCCGGCCUGAGAGGGUGACCGGCGACAUUGGGACUGAGAUACGGACCAGAAUCCUACGGGAGGCAGCAGUGGGGAAUAUUGCACAAUGGGCGGAAGCCUGAUGCAGCAACGCCGCGUGCGGGAUGACGGCCUUCGGGUUGUAAACCGCUUUCGCCUGUGACGAAGCGUGAGUGACGGUAAUGGGUAAAGAAGCACCGGCUAACUACGUG
This 468-nucleotide ribosomal RNA is filed under the name uncultured bacterium. Its description in RNAcentral is "partial 16S ribosomal RNA". It matches the Rfam family "Bacterial small subunit ribosomal RNA", at positions 28 to 507 of the family's 1533-position model. The record is from RNAcentral.